CUACGGGAGGCAGCAGUGGGGAAUAUUGGACAAUGGGCGAAAGCCUGAUCCAGCCAUGCCGCGUGUGUGAAGAAGGUCUUCGGAUUGUAAAGCACUUUAAGUUGGGAGGAAGGGCAGUAAGUUAAUACCUUGCUGUUUUGACGUUACCAACAGAA
Molecule: ribosomal RNA, 155 nt
Filed under: uncultured bacterium
Lineage: Bacteria
Description: partial 16S ribosomal RNA
Rfam family: Bacterial small subunit ribosomal RNA
Source: RNAcentral